UUAAUAAUAUGAAUGAUUUAUUAAUUAUACGGAGAUGAACUACAUGGGUAAUACUGCAAUAGCACCGUCAUCAGAGAUACAAGCUUAACAAAGAUCAUUUCGUCCGGCUGGUCACCUACAAAUUUUCUUAUUUAAAUCAAUCCUAUAAAUGAAAUCUUCUUCUAGCUGCUCAAAAUCUCAGCACAUAACUAUGCACCAAAAAAACAAAUAUUAUGCUCUGAAUUUAUAAAGCAAAUGUAUGCAAAUUUUCCCUUCAACAUGCAUUACAGCUCUUUCUACAUGUCCCAUAGUAAUCAGGAGAACCCGUCAUAAACACUGGGUUCCUUUGGCAUUCCCCAAGAGCAGCCCACCUGGGACAACUGUCAUCCUCAUCAGUGCAUUCGCUGACAUCUGAUUCAGACAGGGCCUUUCCUCCAUUACUGGCUUUUACAAUGAAGUAUUUGGUGGCACACCACAUUUCCCCCUCAAGGACAGGGCAUCGAGCAUGGCUACUACUUGUGUCAGGAGAAGCGUUAGGGUGCACGUUGAAAAACAGAAUUGCGUUCCCUUUAACUGGUUUUAGUAAGUUGCUACCCUUUCCACAAUCAGACCAAAUUUUGCCCUUUGGCUCUGACUUGGGGAAGAGGAUCUCGCCACCCUGACUGACAUUUGCGAGAUAUAAAACUAGGGUUGCCAUCAAAGGCUCAUUCAAAAUCAAUAAUCUGUUGCCAAAAUAAUCAAACUUCUGUUUGGCGUCUUCGACCCCAUAAUGCAUGACCUGUAGGGGCUUCCCAUUCUCUUUGGGAAGGAAAGUCCACGCUGAAAGUCUCUCCUCAAUCCUUGCAAGUAGAUUAUCCUACAAGGCACAAAGCUGGAUUUGAAAUUGUGAAAAUCACAUAAGCCUUGACAUAGAAUGUGAAUGCAGCACAUCAAAUCUCUUCCUUUUCCAGUAACUACCAGUCAAUCUUCAGCAUAAACUACAGCCAGUCAAAAACGUUGAAAGUUCGAUAAAGUACCAAGGUCACAUAAGAAGAUAUAAAAUCAGAAGUUUAGCCUUAAUGACCAAGGAAUGAGCCUUGACAUAUUAAUCAUUUGGCAAUUACAAAUUGAAAACUAAUCUCAAACUACUUUUCAUGCGUGUCCAGACACAGAAACAGAUCUCUUGAAUGUAAGUUUAGAGUUCACACACCUAAGUGUAGAGAGUUGAACAUAUGAUCCACAAUUCAAGAAACUAUACUCCCGAGUGCAUGGGUUAAGUUAAAAUAGAGCCAAUAAGGAAACUUACAUCCAUGUUUAAAAGAAAUUCUGAAUUUGCAUGUAGCCCCUUCUCAACAAUUUUUGCUGAAUCAUCACCCUUUCCCAUAGAUGCUUCUUUUGCACCUUGUGCCUGAGCCCAACGCAAGAAUUUCAAAUAAUGCCAGACAUAAGAGAUUUAACUAAAUUAACAAGAGAAAGAUUUACCAAAGAAAUAACAUGAUCACAUUCCUCAUCCGUUAGAAAGCCUUUAUACAAGAACACCCUAAAGCAAGAAAAAUAAUGUCAGGUUUUUCACUAAAUAAGCCAAAGUCAUUAAACAUCACAUCAUUUGGGGGAUAUUUCUCUGAUUCAAAGUUGAAUCUUCAGCCAAAAAUAUCAAUUAAGUAAAUGAGCAGACUUACAAAAAUGACUAGAGGACCAUGACAUACAUACAAGAAACUUAAUACCAACUUAAUCCAUGUACCUGACCUUGGUCGCCAGGAGAGUUGGACAACUUGCAAUGGGUUAACUCUGUUGGUUCGAAUUGAGCUUCCCAGUAGUAUGAUAGUUUCGUGAUUGACCUCCUUAUCCCUCAAUUCCUUCCGGCUAAGCAAAUGAUCAUGAUACAAGAGAAAUUACUCAUUUAAGGAAAAAAAGAAGGCAGCAGAAGAAGAUAAAGAGAAGUAUAUUUCCUUAAUUCCUUCAAACACGUCACAGAUAUGGAAAAAAAUGACAAUCUAAGAAAAAUGUCACAAAAACCCACUGUAAAUAGUUCAUAGCUUAUAACACCCUCAUAUAAAGGAAAAGGAAGAAGUCAUCGCUCGAGAAGAAAAGGAAAGUCGCUCCUGCAUUCCAAUAUCGCAGAGCUCAUAAACACAUAAAAUGUUUUCAACAUUCAGAAAAAGAAAUCCCAGAUCAAGAAAAUAACGAUUUUUAACAUGUAUUGCCAAAUCGCCAAGUUACAAUACGAAGUCAAAGAGUAAUUCAUUGAAAGUGAAAUUGAAAACUAAGAUGGGUUUCUUUACCUCUCCGCAAAACAAUAGGAGAAUGGACCUGCAGCUGUGAGAACCGCAAAAACUAUAAGAUAAACAGAGGAAGCCAUAAAUGAAUGAGAAAACGAUCCUCAGAGAUCCAAAAUUGAUGAAUUGGGGAAUGGACAUAGAAAUCCAACAAUAUUUUCCAUGAAUAAAUGCGCG
Molecule: unclassified non-coding RNA, 2411 nt
Filed under: Hevea brasiliensis (rubber tree)
Lineage: Eukaryota; Viridiplantae; Streptophyta; Magnoliopsida; Malpighiales; Euphorbiaceae
Source: RNAcentral